Molecule: ribosomal RNA, 588 nt
Filed under: uncultured bacterium
Lineage: Bacteria
Description: bacterial SSU rRNA
Rfam family: Bacterial small subunit ribosomal RNA
Source: RNAcentral
ACUCCUACGGGAGGCAGCAGUGGGGAAUUUUGGACAAUGGGCGAAAGCCUGAUCCAGCAAUGCCGCGUGUGUGAAGAAGGCCUUCGGGUUGUAAAGCACUUUUGUCCGGAAAGAAAUGGCUCUGGUUAAUACCUGGAGUCGAUGACGGUACCGGAAGAAUAAGGACCGGCUAACUACGUGCCAGCAGCCGCGGUAAUACGUAGGGUCCAAGCGUUAAUCGGAAUUACUGGGCGUAAAGCGUGCGCAGGCGGUUGUGCAAGACCGAUGUGAAAUCCCCGGGCUUAACCUGGGAAUUGCAUUGGUGACUGCACGGCUAGAGUGUGUCAGAGGGGGGUAGAAUUCCACGUGUAGCAGUGAAAUGCGUAGAGAUGUGGAGGAAUACCGAUGGCGAAGGCAGCCCCCUGGGAUAACACUGACGCUCAUGCACGAAAGCGUGGGGAGCAAACAGGAUUAGAUACCCUGGUAGUCCACGCCCUAAACGAUGUCAACUAGUUGUUGGGGAUUCAUUUCCUUAGUAACGUAGCUAACGCGUGAAGUUGACCGCCUGGGGAGUACGGUCGCAAGAUUAAAACUGAAAGGAAUUGACGG